Molecule: ribosomal RNA, 253 nt
Filed under: uncultured bacterium
Lineage: Bacteria
Description: partial 16S ribosomal RNA
Rfam family: Bacterial small subunit ribosomal RNA
Source: RNAcentral
CGAAGGGGCUAGCGUUGUUCGGAAUUACUGGGCGUAAAGCGCGCGUAGGCGGCUUUGUCAGUCAGGGGUGAAAUCCCGGGGCUUAACCUCGGAACUGCCCUUGAUACUGCAAGGCUUGAGUCUGUGAGAGGAUGGUGGAAUACCCAGUGUAGAGGUGAAAUUCGUAGAUAUUGGGUGGAACACCAGUGGCGAAGGCGGCCAUCUGGCACAGUACUGACGCUGAGGUGCGAAAGCGUGGGGAGCAAACAGGAUU